Molecule: ribosomal RNA, 479 nt
Filed under: uncultured Methanosaeta sp.
Lineage: Archaea; Methanobacteriati; Methanobacteriota; Methanomicrobia; Methanotrichales; Methanotrichaceae
Description: bacterial SSU rRNA
Rfam family: Archaeal small subunit ribosomal RNA
Source: RNAcentral
AAAUGAAUUGAGGGGGAGCACCACAACGGGUGGAGCUUGCGGUUUAAUUGGAUUCAACGCCGGAAAUCUUACCGGGACCGACAGCAAUAUGAAGGCCAGGCUGAAGACUUUGCCGGAUUAGCUGAGAGGUGGUGCAUGGCCGUCGUCAGUUCGUACUGUGAAGCAUCCUGUUAAGUCAGGCAACGAGCGAGACCCACGCCCACAGUUGCCAGCGUACUCUCUGGAGUGACGGGUACACUGUGGGACCGCCGCUGCUAAAGCGGAGGAAGGAAUGGGCAACGGUAGGUCAGUAUGCCCCGAAUAUCCCGGGCUACACGCGAGCUACAAUGGUUGGUACAAUGGGUAUCUACCCCGAAAGGGGACGGGAAUCUCCUAAAACCAAUCUUAGUUCGGAUUGAGGGCUGCAACUCGCCCUCAUGAAGCUGGAAUCCGUAGUAAUCGCGUUUCAACAGAACGCGGUGAAUACGUCCCUGCUCCUU